Non-coding RNA from Diceros bicornis minor, 1611 nucleotides. The record is from the annotation of a RefSeq genome assembly. NCBI's taxonomy places the organism in Eukaryota, Metazoa, Chordata, Mammalia, Perissodactyla, Rhinocerotidae.
GAUCAGCCUGGUGGUCUUCUAGGAGAGCCCCUCAGUCACUGCCCUGCCUGGGACGCUGUCCAGAAGCAGCUCUAACUCCCUGCCUCGUGUCCUGGGCUCACUGUCUUCUGAGCGGGACUGGAGUUCUGAGAGGGUGCUCCGCUCCUCCUGUCAUCUCUCCCUUUCCUUCUGAGGCCCAAGGAGGAAGGCAUGCUGCGGGCUCUAGCCCUCCUUCUAGCUUUCCUGGCUCCUGCCGCUCAGAUAUCUUCCAACUUGGAAGGGACACAGAUGUCCAUCACCAGACAGGCUGGGUCAUCUGCUGUAAUCACUUGUGAUAUUCAACAAAGCAGCGACUACGUCCACUGGUACCGGUACCAGGAGGGGAUGGCUCCACAACGCCUUCUCUACUACCAGUUCUCCAGCUCAAAUGUUGUGAGGGAAUCUGGAAUCAGUUCAUGGAAAUACCAUGCUUAUGAAGGCUCAGGGAGGACCUGUGAACUUUUAAUCAAUAUUCUGGAGGAAAGGGAUUCUGGCGUGUAUUACUGUGCUGCCUGGGAGAGACACAUAAAAAAGACAUUUGGAAAAGGGACUAAGCUCACAGUAACUCCCUCUGAUAGAAGCCUUCCUGAAGACGUUUCCCCCAAGCCCACCGUUUUCCUUCCUUCAAUUGCUGAAAUAAACCUCCAUAAUGCUGGAACAUAUCUUUGUCUUCUUGAGAAUUUCUUCCCAGAUGUUAUAAGGGUAUAUUGGAAAGAAAAGAACGGCAAUACAAUUCUGGAAUCCCAGCAGGGAAAAACCAUGAAGACUCAUGACACAUACAUGAAAUUCAGCUGGCUGACCGUGACUGGAAAGUCAAUGGAUAAAGAACACAGAUGUAUCGUCCAACACAAGAAUAAUAGAGGAGGUGUUGACCAAGAGAUUCUUUUUCCUUCAGUGAACAAAGUUGUCUCCUCAAUUGUCGCUCCUACUGAUUCCUCAAUGGCUUAUCCGAAAGAGAAAAGCAAGAUCCCUGCCAUUAAUUCCACAAAAGCUUAUCUAAAGGAUGAAAGCCAGGUCACUGCUAUUAAUUUUACGAAAGCUUGUCUGAAAGAUGAAAGCAACACCCUGCAGCUGCAGCUCACCAGCACCUCUGCCUAUUACAUCUACCUCCUCCUCCUCCUUGUGAGUGCGGUCUACUUGGCCAUCAUCGCCUUCUGCCUGUUAAGGAGAACAGCAGUCUGUGGCAGUGGAAAGAGUUCGUAACAGAUGGUGGCACUGAAGACAACUUUUCUCCAUUGUUAAUUUUCCCUAAACGUGUCUCCUGAGGAUCUGGCUAGGCGUUCUCUCUGGGUUUGGGUUAUUUCAGUUGACAUGUGUAUUUUUCUAUUAUGUCAAUAUUGCAAAAUAGUUUUCUAAACCACUGGGCAAACAGAAUCUUUUACUCUGUAACAACAAUGAAUUCCUUCCAUUACUCAGUGGCAGGGCCAAGGGGUAGUCCUUUAGCAACACUCUCUCUAUGAUCUCCAUCAGCUGCUCCAGCAACCCAAAUAAUCAUGCCUUCUGAGUACAGACAGCACGCAGCUUCUAGUCACCUCCCUUAGGGCCAUUUAACCAGAUGACCACCUUGAAGCUUUCCAUUUUACACACCCUGAA